RNAcentral lists this transfer RNA (58 nucleotides) under Asiopsocus sonorensis. Its description in RNAcentral is "tRNA-Ser". Lineage: Eukaryota; Metazoa; Arthropoda; Insecta; Psocodea; Asiopsocidae. The record is from RNAcentral.
ACUUGUAUAGUUUAAUAUAUAAAACAUUGCACUUUCAUUGUAAAAAUACACACAAGUU